RNAcentral lists this long non-coding RNA (1715 nucleotides) under Homo sapiens (human). Its description in RNAcentral is "PREDICTED lncRNA (TCONS_00189000)". The stretch from base 953 to 1228 matches the Rfam family "SOX2 overlapping transcript exon 3". Lineage: Eukaryota; Metazoa; Chordata; Mammalia; Primates; Hominidae. The record is from RNAcentral.
UUUCUCCAUCCUAGUAAUCAAAUUUGAGCAAAAUCAAAUGGGGCUUUCUAUGAAAGUACCUUUUGUUGAUCUGAACGAGCUGGUAAUUUACAAAAUACCCUUCCUUUGUGAGGAAGGCUAAAGAAAAAAAGAAUCAGUAGCUUUUAAAGCUGGGCCUUAGUGGGACUCUAAAUGCAAUGAAAGCAGUCUGUGUUGAGAGACUGAAAUGCAUUUCAAAGCCAGGCCUGAUUCGGGGUACAAGGAAGAACAGACCUAUGUGCAUUUUGUAGGAAGAAAACUGUGAAUGGAAAAAGGAGAAGGGGAGAGAAACGGGGGAAAUCUGGAUAAUACAUUAAAGUAACCAUAAUUUUGGAGAUGCAUUCAUCUUAUUGAAAAUAUAUUUCCUCAUGGUUGUGAUUCCUCUUCACUCUUUUGAAUUUGGAAGGAUGGCAUACACAUCUGAAAAAUACCACUACUUCCUUCAUUGGACUGCAAGGUAUUUCUGUUUGGAAAAGUAAUGGAGUCCAGUCAACUUCAUUGAUCGCCAAGGACUGUCAAAAUUAUAAAACUUGCUGUGGAGCUCUGACAUGCCAGAAGCCGCUAGAAAAAGAAGUUUGACAUUCAGAAACUUAUCAAGAGGUUCUACUCUUUGGAUAGAGACCAAAAUCAUACUUUGAAUGAUAUGCAAUGCAAGACUCCCAAGAUUCUGGGCAGUGGCAGGGAGGUGCAGCUUCUAGUCUGCCGCAUGAUCACAAUGUCAGCUGGUCCCUCUUCUCAGGUGUAGAUCACCUAUUAUAAUUUUACCUAAUUUUGAUACUCUGAUAAGGAAAGUCCCAGGACUUAUCAGCUGGGAUAGGCCUCACUUACAAGACAGCUCUGUUCAGUAUUUGGAAGAAAGCCUGACAGGUUUCUUCGGAAAAGUGGCCAUCCAUGGAAUGAAUGAAAUGUUCUCUUUCUAUUCCAGGGAUUGCAGUGGCAAAGCUAGGCUAGGUCUUGGAGGCUGGUGUAAGGCGAUGUGGGUGAAGGCAGGAGGCUGAUGGAAAGACUGGGGGGAAGAAAAGCCGAAAUGGAUUCACGGUGCCUUGGAUGAAGGACGAGAGGGGAACUGCAAGCUCCUUCAACUGGUUCUGUCCGGUGAGAAGUGAUCAAGCUUGGGCUGACAAGAGGCUCAGGGAGCCCUCACGUUCUUUCGCUUUUUUACCUGCCAAUCAAACUGCUACAAGACAACACCCUGAUCUGGCAUGGACAUGUCCGUGUUUACCUUAAUAUUACACCUGGAUUAAACAGAAAACAGUGCUGUAUUUUGAAGAGCGCCGAAUAUGUAUGCAUUUUGAGAAACCCAAUCUCACCCUUUCCGGGUUCCCAAGAACUAAAACAAGCCAUAACUUGAGAGAAAAAGGAGAACCUUCGGGGGGCAGGAAGGUUGAUUGGAAAUAACUUAAGGAAAGUCUGCAGAAUUCUUUUUUUUACAACUUUUCUGAGUUUCCAGUGGGUAUAUUUAGUGUGAGUUUGACAGUAACAGGCUAGGGAGGGCAGAGAUUGGAGAAAUUGGGGGUCGGGGGAGUGAUUAUGGGAAGAAGGUUAGUAAGGAACAAAACAAUGCACCGUUUUGUAAAGAUAAUAAAUGGAACGUGGCUGGUAGAUACUAUUCAGUACAUUUUCUUAGGGUGAGUAAGGGUAGACCAGGGGAGGAGGGGGCGGAGAGAGUGUUACAGAAGAAAGAAAAUAAGUAACCC